CCUACGGGUGGCUGCAGUGGGGAAUAUUGCACAAUGGGGGAAACCCUGAUGCAGCGACGCCGCGUGAGUGAAGAAGUUUUUCGGUAUGUAAAGCCCUAUCAGUAGGGAAGAAGAAAGACGGUACCUGCCUAAGAAGCCCCGGCUAACUACGUGCCAGCAGCCGCGGUAAUCCGGAGGGGGCAAGCGUUAUCCGGAUUUACUGGGUGUAAAGGGAGCGUAGAGGGCUGUGCAAGUCUGAAGUGAAAGCCCAGGGCUCAACCCUGGGACUGCUUUGGAAACUGUGCAGCUAGAGUGCGGGAGAGGUAAGUGGAAUUCCGAGUGUAGCGGUGAAAUGCGUAGAUAUUAGGAGGAACACCAGUUGCGAAGGCGGCUUACUGGACAGUAACUGACGUUGAGGCUCGAAAGCGUGGGGAGCAAACAGGAUUAGAUACCCUGGUAGUC
RNAcentral lists this ribosomal RNA (441 nucleotides) under uncultured bacterium. RNAcentral's name for it is "partial 16S ribosomal RNA". It matches the Rfam family "Bacterial small subunit ribosomal RNA", at positions 338 to 795 of the family's 1533-position model. The record is from RNAcentral.